UAAUAAGUGUUUUAUGGCACUUUUUUAAAUCCAUUAUCCACUUGGUGUGCAAUGUCGGUAGCUCUUCUUCUUUUUGAGGAUCGACCAAACAUCAACCUUUAUUUUUAACUCUUUGUCUGAAAAAUAUUAUGAACAACACAAUUCAAAAUA
Molecule: unclassified non-coding RNA, 150 nt
Filed under: soil metagenome
Description: partial internal transcribed spacer 1
Source: RNAcentral